GUAGGGAAUAUUGGACAAUGGGGGAAACCCUGAUCCAGCAACGCCGCGUGGAUGAUGAAGCUUUUUGGAGUGUAAAAUCCUGUCAGUGGGGACGAAACGUCCGGGUAGGAAAUGACCCGGGCCUGACUGUACCCGCAGAGGAAGUUCCGGCCAACUCCGUGCCAGCAGCCGCGGUAAUACGGGGGGAACGAGCGUUGUUCGGAUUUACUGGGCGUAAAGGGCACGCAGGCGGGGAGACAAGUCAGAUGUGAAAACCCAAAGCUUAACUCUGGGCCUGCAUUUGAUACUGUUUCUCUUGAGUACGGGAGAGGAUAGCGGAAUUCUUGGUGUAGCGGUGAAAUGCGUAGAUAUCAAGAAGAACACCGGUGGCGAAGGCGGCUAUCUGGCCCGAUACUGACGCUCAUGUGCGAAGGCAAGGGGAGCAAACAGGAUUAGAAACCCGGGUAGUCC
This 450-nucleotide ribosomal RNA is filed under the name uncultured bacterium TA06. RNAcentral's name for it is "bacterial SSU rRNA". It matches the Rfam family "Bacterial small subunit ribosomal RNA", at positions 354 to 796 of the family's 1533-position model. The record is from RNAcentral.